UGUUUCGGCUAGGGGGUCAUCCCGACUUACCAACCCGAUGCAAACUACGAAUACCGAAGAAUGUUAUCACGGGAGACACACGGCGGGUGCUAACGUCCGUCGUGAAGAGGGAAACAACCCAGACCGCCAGCUAAGGUCCCAAAGUCAUGGUUAAGUGGGAAACGAUGUGGGAAGGCACAGACAGCCAGGAUGUUGGCUUAGAAGCAGCCAUCAUUUAAAGAAAGCGUAAUAGCUCACUGGUCGAGUCGGCCUGCGCGGAAGAUGUAACGGGGCUAAACCAUGCACCGAAGCUGCGGCAGCGACACUAUGUGUUGUUGGGUAGGGGAGCGUUCUGUAAGCCUGCGAAGGUGUGCUGUGAGGCAUGCUGGAGGUAUCAGAAGUGCGAAUGCUGACAUAAGUAACGAUAAAGCGGGUGAAAAGCCCGCUCGCCGGAAGACCAAGGGUUCCUGUCCAACGUUAAUCGGGGCAGGGUGAGUCGACCCCUAAGGCGAGGCCGAAAGGCGUAGUCGAUGGGAAACAGGUUAAUAUUCCUGUACUUGGUGUUACUGCGAAGGGGGGACGGAGAAGGCUAUGUUAGCCGGGCGACGGUUGUCCCGGUUUAAGCAUGUAGGCUGGU
This 616-nucleotide ribosomal RNA is filed under the name Klebsiella pneumoniae. RNAcentral's name for it is "partial 23S ribosomal RNA". It matches the Rfam family "Bacterial large subunit ribosomal RNA", at positions 911 to 1529 of the family's 2925-position model. Lineage: Bacteria; Pseudomonadati; Pseudomonadota; Gammaproteobacteria; Enterobacterales; Enterobacteriaceae. The record is from RNAcentral.